Molecule: small nuclear RNA, 183 nt
Organism: Sorex fumeus (smoky shrew)
Lineage: Eukaryota; Metazoa; Chordata; Mammalia; Eulipotyphla; Soricidae
Product: U2 spliceosomal RNA
Exons: 1
Source: RefSeq, a predicted model, not a curated record
CUAUCACUCUCGGCCUUUUGGCUAAGAUUAAGUGUAGUAUCUGUUCUUAUCAGUUUAAUAAUCUCAUCAAUGGCCAUAAUCCAGAGACUCAGAAAUAAAGCUCCCAUAAGGGAGAAACAUAGGCCUUCACCCAUGGGUGAACCUGCUGUGUUUUAAAUUGCAUUUUAAAUUUUAGAAUUCCUG